AACGAACGCUGGCGGCAUGCCUAACACAUGCAAGUCGAACGCCCUGGUUCGCCAGGGAGUGGCGCACGGGUGAGUAACGCGUGGGAACCUGCCCGGCAGUACGGGACAACCGCGGGAAACUGCGGCUGAUACCGUAUACGGCCUGAGGGCGAAAGAAUUUCGCUGUCGGAGGGGCCCGCGUCGGAUUAGGUAGUUGGUGGGGUAACGGCCUACCAAGCCUGCGAUCCGUAGCUGGUCUGAGAGGAUGAUCAGCCACACUGGGACUGAGACACGGCCCAGACUCCUACGGGAGGCAGCAGUGGGGAAUAUUGGACAAUGGGCGCAAGCCUGAUCCAGCAAUGCCGCGUGAGUGAUGAAGGCCUUAGGGUUGUAAAGCUCUUUCGCCCGCGACGAUGAUGACGGUAGCGGGAGAAGAAGCCCCGGCUAACUCCGUGCCAGCCGCCGCCGUAAAAC
Molecule: ribosomal RNA, 453 nt
Filed under: uncultured bacterium
Lineage: Bacteria
Description: bacterial SSU rRNA
Rfam family: Bacterial small subunit ribosomal RNA
Source: RNAcentral